This is a long non-coding RNA of Hyaena hyaena (striped hyena), 302 nucleotides long. RefSeq lists it as uncharacterized. The record is from RefSeq and is a predicted model, not a curated record. The transcript is spliced from 3 exons. NCBI's taxonomy places the organism in Eukaryota, Metazoa, Chordata, Mammalia, Carnivora, Hyaenidae.
AGGAAGCCAGUCCUCUUUUCCUCCCUAGGCUUCCAGUUGGCCUCUAGCUGGUGAAAAGAAACAUGACUCCACACCAUUCCCGGGCUUAACUGGUGAGCCCUCGUCAGACACGUUGCCAAGUUCUGCAGAGAGACCCUGGGCAUAAUCAAAGGCAGCUGUGUAGCUUCACUGACAAUCCUUCCGGAGGAAAAUGUAGCAAAUGAGGCACUGGUCUCAAGACAGAGACGAUAGAUGAGAGAGAAUGGUUUUCUUAAAGCAUAUGGGACUGAAGAUGUCAAAACAAAAUGUAAUUUCUUAGUGUC